AAGUCGUACGGCAGCGCGGGGCAACCUGGGCGGCGAGUGGCGAACGGGUGAGUAAUAUAUCGGAACGUACCCAGAAGUGGGGGAUAACGUAGCGAAAGUUACGCUAAUACCGCAUACGAUCUACGGAUGAAAGUGGGGGACCUUCGGGCCUCAUGCUUGUGGAGCGGCCGAUAUCUGAUUAGCUAGUUGGUAGGGUAAAGGCCUACCAAGGCGACGAUCAGUAGCUGGUCUGAGAGGACGACCAGCCACACUGGGACUGAGACACGGCCCAGACUCCUACGGGAGGCAGCAGUGGGGAAUUUUGGACAAUGGGCGCAAGCCUGAUCCAGCAAUGCCGCGUGAGUGAAGAAGGCCUUCGGGUUGUAAAGCUCUUUUGUCAGGGAAGAAACGGCUGAGGCUAAUAUCCUCGGCUAAUGACGGUACCUGAAGAAUAAGCACCGGCUAACUACGUGCCAGCAGCCGCGGUAAUACGUAGGGUGCAAGCGUUAAUCGGAAUUACUGGGCGUAAAGCGUGCGCAGGCGGUUUUGUAAGUCUGACGUGAAAGCCCCGGGCUCAACCUGGGAAUUGCGUUGGAGACUGCAAGGCUUGAAUCUG
RNAcentral lists this ribosomal RNA (595 nucleotides) under bacterium CSu4_9. RNAcentral describes it as "bacterial SSU rRNA". It matches the Rfam family "Bacterial small subunit ribosomal RNA", at positions 59 to 650 of the family's 1533-position model. The record is from RNAcentral.